Molecule: ribosomal RNA, 1372 nt
Filed under: uncultured bacterium
Lineage: Bacteria
Description: bacterial SSU rRNA
Rfam family: Bacterial small subunit ribosomal RNA
Source: RNAcentral
GAUGAACGCUGGCGGCGUGCCUAAUACAUGCAAGUCGAGCGAACGGACGAGAAGCUUGCUUCUCUGAUGUUAGCGGCGGACGGGUGAGUAACACGUGGAUAACCUACCUAUAAGACUGGGAUAACUUCGGGAAACCGGAGCUAAUACCGGAUAAUAUUUUGAACCGCAUGGUUCAAAAGUGAAAGACGGUCUUGCUGUCACUUAUAGAUGGAUCCGCGCUGCAUUAGCUAGUUGGCAAGGUAACGGCUUACCAAGGCAACGAUGCAUAGCCGACCUGAGAGGGUGAUCGGCCACACUGGAACUGAGACACGGUCCAGACUCCUACGGGAGGCAGCAGUAGGGAAUCUUCCGCAAUGGGCGAAAGCCUGACGGAGCAACGCCGCGUGAGUGAUGAAGGUCUUCGGAUCGUAAAACUCUGUUAUUAGGGAAGAACAUAUGUGUAAGUAACUGUGCACAUCUUGACGGUACCUAAUCAGAAAGCCACGGCUAACUACGUGCCAGCAGCCGCGGUAAUACGUAGGUGGCAAGCGUUAUCCGGAAUUAUUGGGCGUAAAGCGCGCGUAGGCGGUUUUUUAAGUCUGAUGUGAAAGCCCACGGCUCAACCGUGGAGGGUCAUUGGAAACUGGAAAACUUGAGUGCAGAAGAGGAAAGUGGAAUUCCAUGUGUAGCGGUGAAAUGCGCAGAGAUAUGGAGGAACACCAGUGGCGAAGGCGACUUUCUGGUCUGUAACUGACGCUGAUGUGCGAAAGCGUGGGGAUCAAACAGGAUUAGAUACCCUGGUAGUCCACGCCGUAAACGAUGAGUGCUAAGUGUUAGGGGGUUUCCGCCCCUUAGUGCUGCAGCUAACGCAUUAAGCACUCCGCCUGGGGAGUACGACCGCAAGGUUGAAACUCAAGGGAAUUGACGGGGACCCGCACAAGCGGUGGAGCAUGUGGUUUAAUUCGAAGCAACGCGAAGAACCUUACCAAAUCUUGACAUCCUUUGACAACUCUAGAGAUAGAGCCUUCCCCUUCGGGGGACAAAGUGACAGGUGGUGCAUGGUUGUCGUCAGCUCGUGUCGUGAGAUGUUGGGUUAAGUCCCGCAACGAGCGCAACCCUUAAGCUUAGUUGCCAUCAUUAAGUUGGGCACUCUAAGUUGACUGCCGGUGACAAACCGGAGGAAGGUGGGGAUGACGUCAAAUCAUCAUGCCCCUUAUGAUUUGGGCUACACACGUGCUACAAUGGACAAUACAAAGGGCAGCGAAACCGCGAGGUCAAGCAAAUCCCAUAAAGUUGUUCUCAGUUCGGAUUGUAGUCUGCAACUCGACUACAUGAAGCUGGAAUCGCUAGUAAUCGUAGAUCAGCAUGCUACGGUGAAUACGUUCCCGGGUCU